This 466-nucleotide ribosomal RNA is filed under the name uncultured bacterium. RNAcentral describes it as "partial 16S ribosomal RNA". It matches the Rfam family "Bacterial small subunit ribosomal RNA", at positions 28 to 507 of the family's 1533-position model. The record is from RNAcentral.
GAUGAACGCUGGCGGCGUGCUUAACACAUGCAAGUCGAACGGAAAGGCUCCUGCUUGCAGGGGUACUCGAGUGGCGAACGGGUGAGUAACACGUGGGUGAUCUGCCCUGCACUUCGGGAUAAGCCUGGGAAACUGGGUCUAAUACCGGAUAGGACGAUGGUUUGGAUGCCAUUGUGGAAAGUUUUUUCGGUGUGGGAUGAGCUCGCGGCCUAUCAGCUUGUUGGUGGGGUAAUGGCCUACCAAGGCGUCGACGGGUCGCCGGCCUGUGAGGGUGUACGGCCACAGUGGGACUGAGAUGCGGCCCAGACUCCUACGGGAGGCAGCAGUGGGGAAUAUUGCACAAUAGGCGCAAGGCUGAUGCAGCGACGCCGCGUGGGGGAUGACGGCCUUCGGGUUGUAAACUCCUUUCGCUAGGGACGAAGCGCAAGUGACGGUACCUGGAGAAGAAGCACCGGCUAACUACGUG